RNAcentral lists this ribosomal RNA (488 nucleotides) under uncultured bacterium. RNAcentral describes it as "bacterial SSU rRNA". It matches the Rfam family "Bacterial small subunit ribosomal RNA", at positions 20 to 507 of the family's 1533-position model. The record is from RNAcentral.
UGGCUCAGGAUGAACGCUAGCGGCAGGCUUAAUACAUGCAAGUCGAGGGGUAACAGGUCUUCGGAUGCUGACGACCGGCGCACGGGUGCGUAACGCGUACACAACAUACCAUAUACUGGAGUAUAGCCUUGGGAAACUGAGAGUAAUCCUCCAUAGUAUUGUGAAUGGGCAUCCAUUUGCAAUUAAAGUUCCGGCGGUAUAUGAUUGGUGUGCGUUUGAUUAGGUAGUUGGCGGGGUAACGGCCCACCAAGCCUACGAUCAAUAGCUGGCGUGAGAGCGCGACCAGCCACACUGGAACUGAGACACGGUCCAGACUCCUACGGGAGGCAGCAGUAGGGAAUAUUGGACAAUGGGCGCAAGCCUGAUCCAGCCAUGCCGCGUGAUAGAUGAAGGCCCUCUGGGUUGUAAAUAUCUUUUAUCUGGGAAGAAACUCCUCUAUUCUUAGAGGCCUGACGGUACCAGAGGAAUAAGCACCGGCUAACUCCGUG